This is a long non-coding RNA of Triticum dicoccoides, 989 nucleotides long. RefSeq lists it as uncharacterized. The transcript is spliced from 3 exons. The record is from RefSeq and is a predicted model, not a curated record. NCBI's taxonomy places the organism in Eukaryota, Viridiplantae, Streptophyta, Magnoliopsida, Poales, Poaceae.
GACGUGAUUGAAGUUGUAACCGAUGAAAUGCCUGCUGGUGAAGCUAUUAUGGAUCCAACUCACCACCUAAUUGGCGACAAAGGGGCGACAGACCAAAGUCUCGGAUUCCUCGAGCAACAUAUGUAGUGUUGUCAGUCGAUGUGAAUCCGUCUACUCCUAGGCAACAACAGAGGGGUGAUUGGGAUACUGAAAGCCAGUGUAUGGAGGCUUAGUGGAGUCAGUCACCAGCCUCUUCGUUGUUUAAACAACAACAUCAAGCGGCGCCAGAAACAUGUCAGUUACUUUCAUCUUGGGCAUAGCCAACUUUGUUGGUGGACUUCCUCUCAUUUUUCACAAUAUUGCUGAUCCGAGAGACAGCGGAGUCAUGAACGAGGACAAAUGAGAAGGUCGGCCACUACUGACUCAAGCUUGGAUGUGGUUGAAAGCCCGGCUCCACAUGGUUCUACCACUGCUCUCACACAUGGUGUUCGGGCUACUUCCACCAGUGCUCUGCGGGUUGUCGUUCCGCGAGAGUAACGACAGGGAGAACAAGAUGAUGGACGUCACCAGUGCUUCGCUUGCCUGCAUCGCUCUGCUAGCGCUCGGGAAGGUUAUGGCCACAAAAGAGCCAUGACAUACUUCAAGACUCUCAUUUACUACCUUACCAUCGUUGUGAGCUUGUCCGGAAUGUCGUACAUCGCCGGUGUACUGGUCAUGAGGCUUCUAGGACACUUGACACCAUCGAUCAAGGUGGUGCAUCGGCUCCUCAUGCUUCUCCAGGCCUGUUGUUCUCUCAUUUAGGUGGUGCGCAUACGUCUGCCUAGGCCUCAUUAUGAAGUCUCAAGUUCCUCGGAGCACUGAUGGUAUAAAAAGAGAAGACAUGGGUGAGUUGAAGAGAAAGUGCAUGAAGAAACAUCUGAAUCUUUUUGAGUUGCUACCUGCUAUUUUGUUGUAAUUCUGGUGUACAUUUUAAGUUGCUAACAUUUCAUGUCCAAAUGUGCGAUCUUGGU